GUGUUUCCAAGAGUGAGUGAUUGUGUUCCUUUGUUGUGUUUUAUGUUGAAAUAGGAGCUUGAGACAAAGGGACGUUACAUCGCUUUGCAUGUUCCUUAUUAGGUCAACUCUUGUCUACUCCACCACCUGCAUAACAUGUCAACCUGUGUCUAAAACUCUACAUGCUUCCAUGUGUGUGUGUGUGUAUGUGUGUGUAUGUAUGUAUGGUUUCCAAUUGGCGGAGGUCGACAGAUUGUAUACUAGGCUCAUUGAGAUGACCAAGGUUGAACAGAUGUCAUACCAUAUGAUUCUAUAAUUACACCCAAUGUAAUCUAUUCAAACGUAGUGUGGCCAACAUGAGAAUCAAGUCCUCCCUCUAGAACUUCAAUUGAUUUCCAU
This 378-nucleotide long non-coding RNA is filed under the name Physcomitrium patens. RNAcentral describes it as "long non-coding RNA (PPAT_LNC006730)". Lineage: Eukaryota; Viridiplantae; Streptophyta; Bryopsida; Funariales; Funariaceae. The record is from RNAcentral.